Molecule: ribosomal RNA, 394 nt
Filed under: uncultured bacterium
Lineage: Bacteria
Description: bacterial SSU rRNA
Rfam family: Bacterial small subunit ribosomal RNA
Source: RNAcentral
GACGAACGCUGGCGGCGCGCUUAACACAUGCAAGUCGAGCGAUAACCAUGGCUUCGGCCAUGGGGAGAGCGGCGAACGGGUGAGUAACACGUGAGUAAUCUGCCCUCGACACUGGGAUAGCCCGGGGAAACCCGGAUUAAUACCGGAUAGCCUCUCGAGCUUUCGGGCUCGUGAGAAAAGAUGGCUUCGGCUUUCGGUUGAGGAGGAGCUUGCGGCGGAUUAGCUUGUUGGUGAGGAACGGCCCACCAAGGCGACGAUCCGUAGCUGGUCUGAGAGGACGGAUCAGCCACACUGGGACUGAGACACGGCCCAGACUCCUACGGGAGGCAGCAGUGGGGAAGUCUUGCGCAAUGGGCGAAAGCCUGACGCAGCGACGCCGCGUGAGGGAAGAAGG